Molecule: long non-coding RNA, 1002 nt
Filed under: Cicer arietinum (chickpea)
Lineage: Eukaryota; Viridiplantae; Streptophyta; Magnoliopsida; Fabales; Fabaceae
Description: long non-coding RNA (CARI_LNC001670)
Source: RNAcentral
UCAGUUAAGUUUUUAAUUUAGUCAUUUAAGUUAAAUCAUUUUACAUCGUUAGUUAUUUGUCUCACCUUAAACAACAUUAGUACAAUUGAAAGUAUCUUAUCAUUCGAAAUUCUAUAAAAUAUGGCAACAAUAAAUCACUCAUAUUAAUACUUUAGAAAACAAUCAUCAAAUGUUAUAAACAGCCUAUAUCUUUUGAUUUUUCUAUAACUAUUUAAACACAUAUAAAACCUCUAAAAGAUUAAAGUUAUUUUUCUAUAAUUAUUACUUCAUGUUGAUGGGUCCCCGUGAAAAUAUUCUGUGGAGAUAGAAAUAUAAAACUGAAAUUAUUUUUUAAAAAUGUAAAAUAAAUGAACUCAUAAUUAACAGGAGACACAUAAUUGAUUUUAAUUGGGGGUCACAUAAUUGUAGAUAAAUUAGUAAAAUAGCCCAUUCAUUAAAAGAUAAUUUUGGUCUCACCUUAAAACAUACUUCAUCAUUAACUAAUAUAAAUAAGGUUACUAACGCGCAAAACUAAAAUACUCAAAAGGACCAAAGAUAAUAAAAACAAGUAAAUUGAACCAAAACUAUUAAUGGUAGUCUACAAGCUUGUUUUUGAUCCAUUUAAAACUGCUACGAAAGGAAGAUUUGAACUUAGCUUCAAUGGUAUACAUGUUGUAGGAUGCAAUUCUUUUUCUCCUUUUAACCUCUGGGUUACCAUCAGUGGCCAAAACAUCUCCUUCGAUGCUUGGACCAUUGAAACUAUAAGAUUUGGACUGCUCCUCCAACCCAACCUUAAUGUCUUGAUACGAUGUAGAACGCUGGUCAGACAAGGAUUUAUUUUUUUCCAUGUCCUAGUAAGAAUGCUUAUUUCAAUUCACUAGUCUAAUUGAAAAGAAGGGGAAAUUGUAUAUUGCUUGAAAAUUAUUCCAAUUUAAAGAAGGCAACAAUUAUUUUUCAUUUUUUGGUACAUUUCUCAAAAGGUCUACUUAUUUGGUGCGUUAUGUGUGUACUUGAAUUGUCGAC